GCUCCCGUAGCUCAGUAUGGAUAGAGCAAUGGUUUCCUAAACCGUGAGCGCAGGUUCGAAUCCUGCCGGGGGCG
This 74-nucleotide transfer RNA is filed under the name Acidobacteriota bacterium. RNAcentral's name for it is "tRNA-Arg". It matches the Rfam family "tRNA". From Rfam's summary of the family: Transfer RNA (tRNA) molecules are approximately 80 nucleotides in length. Their secondary structure includes four short double-helical elements and three loops (D, anti-codon, and T loops). Lineage: Bacteria; Pseudomonadati; Acidobacteriota. The record is from RNAcentral.